RNAcentral lists this small RNA (127 nucleotides) under Marmota monax (woodchuck). Lineage: Eukaryota; Metazoa; Chordata; Mammalia; Rodentia; Sciuridae. The record is from RNAcentral.
GCCGGGCGUGGUGGUGCAUGCCUGUAAUCCCAGAAGCUUGGGAGGCUGAGAUAGGGGGAUCUUGAGUUCAAAGCCAGCCUCUACAAAAAGCGAGGCACUAAGCAACUCAGUGAGAACCCUGUCUCCA